RNAcentral lists this ribosomal RNA (110 nucleotides) under Danio rerio (zebrafish). The record is from RNAcentral. Lineage: Eukaryota; Metazoa; Chordata; Actinopteri; Cypriniformes; Danionidae.
AUGAAUGGUGAUGUUUCUCCAAGAGCGGUUACUCACUGAAGCUAAGCGGGGCUGAGCCUGGUCAGUACCUGGAUGGGAGACCACAUGAGAAAACUAGGCUGCUGUUGGCC